GCCUUCGUGGUGGAACGGUAGACACGCUAUCUUGAGGGGGUAGUGCCCGUACGGGCGUGAGGGUUCGAAUCCCUCCGAAGGCA
RNAcentral lists this transfer RNA (83 nucleotides) under Nephroselmis pyriformis. RNAcentral describes it as "tRNA-Leu". It matches the Rfam family "tRNA". From Rfam's summary of the family: Transfer RNA (tRNA) molecules are approximately 80 nucleotides in length. Their secondary structure includes four short double-helical elements and three loops (D, anti-codon, and T loops). The record is from RNAcentral. Lineage: Eukaryota; Viridiplantae; Chlorophyta; Nephroselmidophyceae; Nephroselmidales; Nephroselmidaceae.